Bos indicus x Bos taurus (hybrid cattle) is the source of this 1135-nucleotide long non-coding RNA. Lineage: Eukaryota; Metazoa; Chordata; Mammalia; Artiodactyla; Bovidae. The record is from Ensembl.
CUCGGGCUGAUGGAAAGCAGAUGGCCCCAAGGAUUCUGCUUUGAGAGCUUCACUUGGUUUUUGAGCGAUAAGAGAGCCGGAGGUUGAAAAUUCCUCCCUCUUGUGUCUUGAGCAAAGGAGUGUGGGGUUCCAAGGUUGCCAGCUGGGUGGUUCCCCUUUCUGGUUUGAAUCUCUAGGAUUGCAUAGAUCCGAGGAGAAUUCCAUUUUAGGGGAGCCUCAGGCUCGGGGAGCCUAACCUCGGUUUGUCUCUGGAGCCAGCAGCCCGAUCAUUAUGGUUCUCAUCUGGUCAAUUAUUGGGGAGGUUUUGUUGGUGGUUGAUGACUCAGCGUCCCAUUUCAGAGGAACCUAAUGCAAUUGGCAAGAAAACUGUGCUCUUUUUUGUGUGUGUGUGUAAACUUAAGAGUUCUUCUUAUUAAUUUUUUUUUUUUUUUAACCAGAGUCUGUUCACGUCCUAUGAAUGAAGCAUCGCUGUGAUUUCAAAAAUGAAGACCCGUUCACGACAUCCUCACCUGGUGUCUUUCUCGUCCUCCCGGGGAGCCUGAGGCAGUUCUUAUGAUGACCAGCUGCUCUGGAGACAGCAUCCGCCAGUAAUCUCAUCGUUAUGGGAGUAACUCAAGUUUUCCAUACUCGGGAAAACAAUGCAGUGAUUCAGCUUUCCCAGCAAAAUCGAAUAAGACCCAAAGACAAACGAAGUUAACUUCAGUCCAUCUGAAAGUGUAUGAGUGUGUGUGUAUCCAGAUGGUUUUCAUCUUUUUUCCAUACAGGAAGCCAGCAAUUCCAGCGCUUUUUAUCAAAAGCUCUUCUCUUACUAAGCGGGGGAAGAACUUUUCUUGGAGUCAGAUCAUCAGACUUAGGUGUACUUCAGAUGACUUGGCAUGGUUCAGCGGUAAAGAAUCCAUCGGCCAAGCAGAAGACACAGGUUUGAUCCCUGGGUCAGAAAUAUCCCCUGGAGGAGGAAAUGGCAACCCACUGCAUUAUUCUUGCCUGGAGAAUCUCAUGGACAGAGGAGCCUGGUGAGCUACAGCCCAUGGGGUCGCAAAGAGUCGGACACGACUGAAGCAACUUAGAAUGCACACACACAAAUCUGAAUUUUACCUAUAUUCUUAGCCUGCAUUUGUCAUCCAUUUGUGAUGUU